GUAAUACGUAGGUGGCAAGCGUUGUCCGGAUUUAUUGGGCGUAAAGCGAGCGCAGGCGGUUUUUUAGGUCUGAUGUGAAAGCCUUCGGCUUAACCGGAGAAGUGCAUCGGAAACCGGGAGACUUGAGUGCAGAGGAGGACAGUGGAACUCCAUGUGUAGCGGUGAAAUGCGUAGAUAUAUGGAAGAACACCAGUGGCGAAGGCGGCUGUCUGGUCUGCAACUGACGCUGAGGCUCGAAAGCAUGGGUAGCGAACAGGAUUAGAUACCCUGGUAGUCCAUGCCGUAAACAAUGAGUGCUAAGUGUUGGAGGGUUUCCGCCCUUCAGUGCUGCAGCUAACGCAUUAAGCACUCCGCCUGGGGAGUACGACCGCAAGGUUGAAACUCAAAGGAAUUGACGGGGGCCCGCACAAGCGGUGGAGCAUGUGGUUUAAUUCGAUGCUACGCGAAGAACCUUACCAGGUCUUGACAUCUUCUGCUAACCUAAGAGAUUAGGCGUUCCCUUCGGGGACGGAAUGACAGGUGGUGCAUGGUUGUCGUCAGCUCGUGUCGUGAGAUGUUGGGUUAAGUCCCGCAACGAGCGCAACUCUUAUUGUCAGUUGCCAGCAUUUAGUUGGGCACCCUGGCGAGACUGCCGGUGACAAACCGGAGGAAGGUGGGGAUGACGUCAAAUCAUCAUGCCCCUUAUGACCUGGGCUACACACGUGCUACAAUGGACGGUACAACGAGUCGCGAAACCGCGAGGUCAAGCUAAUCUCUGAAAGCCGUUCUCAGUUCGGAUUGCAGGCUGCAACUCGCCUGCAUGAAGUUGGAAUCGCUAGUAAUCGUGGAUCAGCAUGCCACGGUGAAUACGUUCCCGGGCCUUGUACACACCGCCCGUCACACCAUGAGAGUUUGUAACACCCAAAGCCGGUGAGGUAACCUUCGGGAACCAGCCGUCUAAGGUGGGACAGAUGAUUAGGGUGAAGUCGUAACAAGGUAGCCGUAGGAGAACCUGCGGCUGGAUCACCUCCUUUCUAA
RNAcentral lists this ribosomal RNA (1017 nucleotides) under uncultured bacterium. RNAcentral describes it as "bacterial SSU rRNA". It matches the Rfam family "Bacterial small subunit ribosomal RNA", at positions 520 to 1533 of the family's 1533-position model. The record is from RNAcentral.